GACGAACGCUGGCGGCGUGCCUAAUACAUGCAAGUAGAACGCUGAAGCUUGGUGCUUGCACCGAGCGGAUGAGUUGCGAACGGGUGAGUAACGCGUAGGUAACCUGCCUGGUAGCGGGGGAUAACUAUUGGAAACGAUAGCUAAUACCGCAUAAAAUGAAUUAUCGCAUGAUAAUUCAUUGAAAGGUGCAAAUGCAUCACUACCAGAUGGACCUGCGUUGUAUUAGCUAGUUGGUGGGGUAACGGCUCACCAAGGCGACGAUACAUAGCCGACCUGAGAGGGUGAUCGGCCACACUGGGACUGAGACACGGCCCAGACUCCUACGGGAGGCAGCAGUAGGGAAUCUUCGGCAAUGGACGGAAGUCUGACCGAGCAACGCCGCGUGAGUGAAGAAGGUUUUCGGAUCGUAAAGCUCUGUUGUAAGAGAAGAACGAGUGUGAGAGGGAAAGUUCACACU
This 457-nucleotide ribosomal RNA is filed under the name Streptococcus sp. oral taxon 070. RNAcentral's name for it is "bacterial SSU rRNA". It matches the Rfam family "Bacterial small subunit ribosomal RNA", at positions 28 to 470 of the family's 1533-position model. The record is from RNAcentral. Lineage: Bacteria; Bacillati; Bacillota; Bacilli; Lactobacillales; Streptococcaceae.